Molecule: ribosomal RNA, 395 nt
Filed under: Schizophyllum commune
Lineage: Eukaryota; Fungi; Basidiomycota; Agaricomycetes; Agaricales; Schizophyllaceae
Also listed under: 1 other name
Description: eukaryotic LSU rRNA
Rfam family: 5.8S ribosomal RNA (bases 1-93)
Source: RNAcentral
UUGGUGUGAAUUGCAGAAUUCAGUGAAUCAUCGAAUCUUUGAACGCACCUUGCGCCCUUUGGUAUUCCGAGGGGCAUGCCUGUUUGAGUGUCAUUAAAUACCAUCAACCCUCUUUUGACUUCGGUCUCGAGAGUGGCUUGGAAGUGGAGGUCUGCUGGAGCCUAACGGAGCCAGCUCCUCUUAAAUGUAUUAGCGGAUUUCCCUUGCGGGAUCGCGUCUCCGAUGUGAUAAUUUCUACGUCGUUGACCAUCUCGGGGCUGACCUAGUCAGUUUCAAUAGGAGUCUGCUUCUAACCGUCUCUUGACUGAGACUAGCGACUUGUGCGCUAACUUUUGACUUGACCUCAAAUCAGGUAGGACUACCCGCUGAACUUAAGCAUAUCAAUAAGCGGAGGA